RNAcentral lists this ribosomal RNA (440 nucleotides) under uncultured bacterium. RNAcentral's name for it is "partial 16S ribosomal RNA". It matches the Rfam family "Bacterial small subunit ribosomal RNA", at positions 338 to 795 of the family's 1533-position model. The record is from RNAcentral.
CCUACGGGUGGCAGCAGUAGGGAAUAUUGCUCAAUGGGGGAAACCCUGAAGCAGCAACGCCGCGUGGAGGAUGAAGGUUUUCGGAUUGUAAACUCCUUUUGUUAGAGAAGAUAAUGACGGUAUCUAACGAAUAAGCACCGGCUAACUCCGUGCCAGCAGCCGCGGUAAUACGGAGGGUGCAAGCGUUACUCGGAAUCACUGGGCGUAAAGAGGGCGUAGGCGGGAUAGCAAGUCAGAUGUGAAAUCCUAUGGCUUAACCAUAGAACUGCAUUUGAAACUGUUAUUCUAGAGUAUGGGAGAGGGAGGUGGAAUUCUUGGUGGAGGGGUAAAAUCCGUAGAGAUCAAGAAGAAUACUCAUUGCGAAGGCGACCUGCUAGAACAUAACUGACGCUGAUGCGCGAAAGCGUGGGGAGCAAACAGGAUUAGAUACCCUAGUAGUC